RNAcentral lists this ribosomal RNA (254 nucleotides) under uncultured bacterium. RNAcentral describes it as "partial 16S ribosomal RNA". It matches the Rfam family "Bacterial small subunit ribosomal RNA", at positions 524 to 777 of the family's 1533-position model. The record is from RNAcentral.
UACAGAGGGGGCAAGCGUUAUUCGGAAUUAUUGGGCGUAAAGCGCACGUAGGCGGAUCGUUAAGUCGGGGGUGAAAUCCUGGAGCUCAACUCCAGAACUGCCUUCGAUACUGGCGAUCUUGAGUCCGGAAGAGGUGAGUGGAACUCCUAGUGUAGAGGUGGAAUUCGUAGAUAUUAGGAAGAACACCAGUGGCGAAGGCGGCUCACUGGUCCGGUACUGACGCUGAGGUGCGAAAGCGUGGGGAGCAAACAGGG